RNAcentral lists this ribosomal RNA (173 nucleotides) under uncultured bacterium. RNAcentral describes it as "partial 16S ribosomal RNA". It matches the Rfam family "Bacterial small subunit ribosomal RNA", at positions 1332 to 1500 of the family's 1533-position model. The record is from RNAcentral.
UCGCUAGUAAUCGCGGAUCAGCACGCCGCGGUGAAUACGUUCCCGGGCCUUGUACACACCGCCCGUCACACCAUGGAAGUCUGCAAUGCCCGAAGCCGGUGGCCUAACCACUUAUGUGGAAGGAGCCGUCUAAGGCAGGGCAGAUGACUGGGGUGAAGUCGUAACAAGGUAUC